Molecule: ribosomal RNA, 1150 nt
Filed under: Pseudomonas sp.
Lineage: Bacteria; Pseudomonadati; Pseudomonadota; Gammaproteobacteria; Pseudomonadales; Pseudomonadaceae
Description: bacterial SSU rRNA
Rfam family: Bacterial small subunit ribosomal RNA
Source: RNAcentral
AGCAAUUGCGGCAGCUAACACAUGCAAGUCGAGCGGAUGACGGGAGCUUGCUCCUUGAUUCAGCGGCGGACGGGUGAGUAAUGCCUAGGAAUCUGCCUGGUAGUGGGGGACAACGUUUCGAAAGGAACGCUAAUACCGCAUACGUCCUACGGGAGAAAGCAGGGGACCUUCGGGCCUUGCGCUAUCAGAUGAGCCUAGGUCGGAUUAGCUAGUAGGUGAGGUAAUGGCUCACCUAGGCGACGAUCCGUAACUGGUCUGAGAGGAUGAUCAGUCACACUGGAACUGAGACACGGUCCAGACUCCUACGGGAGGCAGCAGUGGGGAAUAUUGGACAAUGGGCGAAAGCCUGAUCCAGCCAUGCCGCGUGUGUGAAGAAGGUCUUCGGAUUGUAAAGCACUUUAAGUUGGGAGGAAGGGCAGUAAGCUAAUACCUUGCUGUUUUGACGUUACCGACAGAAUAAGCACCGGCUAACUCUGUGCCAGCAGCCGCGGUAAUACAGAGGGUGCAAGCGUUAAUCGGAAUUACUGGGCGUAAAGCGCGCGUAGGUGGUUCGUUAAGUUGGAUGUGAAAGCCCCGGGCUCAACCUGGGAACUGCAUCCAAAACUGGCGAGCUAGAGUAUGGUAGAGGGUGGGUGGAAUUUCCUGUGUAGCGGUGAAAUGCGUAGAUAUAGGAAGGAACACCAGUGGCGAAGGCGACCACCUGGACGGAUGCUGACACUGAGGUGCGAAAGCGUGGGGAGCACACAGGAUUAGAUACCCUGGUAGUCCACGCCGUAAACGAUGUCAACUAGCCCUUGGAAUCCUUGAGAUUUUAGUGGCGCAUCUAAGGCACUAAGUUGACUGCCUGGGGAGUACGGCCGCACGGUUAAGACUCAUAUGAAUUGACUGGGGCCCGCAAAAGCGGUGGAGCAAGUGGUUUAAUUCGAAGCAACGCGGAGAAGCUUACCAGGCCUUGACUUGCAUAGAACUUUCCCGAAAUGGAUUGGUGCCUUCGGGAACUCUGAAAAAAGGUCUGGAGGGUUGUCCUCCCCUCCUGUCCUGAGAAGUUGGGGUUAAUUCCCCGGACCGAGGGGCAACCUUUGUUCUUUUUUUUCAACCCAGGUAUUUGGGUGGGGCCCCUUAGGGGAGGGGGCGGGUGAGAAACCCGACG